Molecule: ribosomal RNA, 279 nt
Filed under: uncultured bacterium
Lineage: Bacteria
Description: partial 16S ribosomal RNA
Rfam family: Bacterial small subunit ribosomal RNA
Source: RNAcentral
UGCCAGCCGCCGCGGUAAUACGUAGGGGGCGAGCGUUAUUCGGAAUUAUUGGGCGUAAAGGGCUCGCAGGCUGCUUGAACAGUUAGACGUGAAAUCCCCGGGCUUAACUCUGGAACUGCCAUUAAAACUUUUCAGCUAGAGUAUGAUAGAGGAAAGUAGAAUUUCUAGUGUAGAGGUGAAAUUCGUAGAUAUUAGAAAGAAUACCAAUUGCGAAGGCAGCUUUCUGGAUCAUUACUGACGCUGAGGAACGAAAGCAUGGGUAGCGAAGAGGAUUAGAUA